UGACAGUACUCCUACGGGAGGCAGCAGUGGGGAAUAUUGCACAAUGGGCGCAAGCCUGAUGCAGCCAUGCCGCGUGUGUGAAGAAGGCCUUCGGGUUGUAAAAGCACUUUCAGUUGUGAGGAAGGUGGUGUUGUGAAUAGCAGCAUCAUUUGACGUUAGCAACAGAAGAAGCACCGGCUAACUCCGUGCCAGCAGCCGCGGUAAUACGGAGGGUGCGAGCGUUAAUCGGAAUUACUGGGCGUAAAAGCGCAUGCAGGUUGGUUUGUUAAAGUCAGAUGUGAAAACGCCCCGGGCUCAAACCUGGAAUUGCAUUUGAAAACUGGCAAAACUAGAGUACUGUAGAGGGGGUAGAAUUUCAGGUGUAGCGGUGAAAAUGCGUAGAGAUCUGAAGGAAUACCGGUGGCGAAGGCGGCCCCCUGGACAGAUACUGACACUCAGAUGCGAAAGCGUGGGGACGCAAACAGGAUUAGACUACCCCUGGUAG
This 484-nucleotide ribosomal RNA is filed under the name uncultured bacterium. RNAcentral describes it as "bacterial SSU rRNA". It matches the Rfam family "Bacterial small subunit ribosomal RNA", at positions 328 to 793 of the family's 1533-position model. The record is from RNAcentral.